Molecule: RNA transcript, 2968 nt
Organism: Strigops habroptila (Kakapo)
Lineage: Eukaryota; Metazoa; Chordata; Aves; Psittaciformes; Psittacidae
Gene: MLH1
Gene name: mutL homolog 1
Exons: 19
Source: RefSeq, a predicted model, not a curated record
CCCUCAGCGCGCCGUGGCUCCCGCCUCUCCCUGCCGAGGCCCGUCCGUUCGCUGGGGCCGGCGCUCCCCACGCCCCCUUUCCAGCCCAGCCGGGCUCCUGUCAGGGCGCCGAUGGCCGCCGGCAUCAUCCGGCGGCUGGAUGAGGCCGUGGUGAACCGCAUCGCGGCCGGAGAGGUCAUCCAGAGACCGGCGAACGCCAUCAAAGAGAUGAUCGAGAACUGUUUGGAUGCUAAAUGUACAAGUAUCCAGGUGGUAGUGAAAGAAGGUGGUCUGAAGCUCAUCCAGGUGCAGGAUAAUGGCUGUGGCAUCAGAAAGGAAGAUCUGAACAUUGUGUGUGAGAGAUUUACUACGAGUAAGCUGCAGAAAUUUGAAGACUUGGCUAGUAUUUCUACCUAUGGUUUUCGGGGUGAGGCACUGGCUAGCAUCAGUCAUGUUGCCCAUGUUACAGUGACAACUAAAACAGCUGAUGCAAAGUGUGCAUACAGAGCUACUUACAGCGAUGGAAAAAUCAAAGCUCCUCCAAAACCCUGUGCUGGGAACCAAGGAACUCAGAUCACGGUUGAAGAUCUCUUUUACAAUGUAAUAACAAGGAGAAAAGCUUUAAAAAAUCCAAACGAAGAAUAUGCAAAAAUACUGGAAGUUUGUGGCAGGUAUGCCAUCCAUAACUCAGGCAUCAGCUUUUCAGUUAAAAAGCAAGGUGAAACCGUGUCAGAUGUUAGAACCUUAUCAAACGCCUCAACAGUGGACAACAUCAGAUCCAUCUUUGGGAAUGCUGUUAGCAGGGAGCUGAUAGAAGUGGACUGUGAGGAUGCGAGCCUGGCCUUUAAAAUGAAAGGCUACAUCACAAAUGCAAACUACUCUGUGAAGAAAUGUAUAUUUCUACUCUUCAUAAACCACCGGUUGGUGGAGUCGGCCGCCCUGCGGAAAGCCAUAGAGACUGUCUAUGCUGCUUACCUGCCAAAAGGCACACAUCCCUUCCUCUACUUAAGCCUGGAAAUAGUCCCCCAGAAUGUAGAUGUGAACGUGCACCCUACAAAACACGAGGUCCAUUUCCUCCAUGAAGACAGUAUUCUAGAGCGUGUACAGCAGCACAUAGAGAGCAAGUUACUGGGCUCCAACUCUUCAAGGAUGUACUUCACUCAGACCUUGCUUCCCGGGGCUGACUGCUCCUCCAGCGAGGUGGUGAAGCCAGCAGCAAACUCCUCCGCGGCCGCCAAAGGAGCCAGUGACAAAGUGUACGCGCACCAGAUGGUGCGCACCGAUUCCCGGGAGCAGAAGCUGGACGCUUUCCUGCAGCCGGCAAACAACCCCCUGAGCACAGCCCCCGGGGAGGCGCCAGCCCAGGGCAGUGCCAGGCCCAGGGACGGGGCAGCCGGGCCCCAGGACGUCGAGAUGGCAGAUGUGGGUGCUCCGGUGGAAGCGACCCCCCGUGCUCAGGAGGACACAGCGGUGUCCGCGGCGCUGGGGGACAGCGGACACUUGUCUCCUGAGGCAGCGCUGCCUCGGAAGAGGCCACGGGAAGACGCAGACACAGAAAUGGAGGAAGAUGACAGCAGGAAGGACAUGACUGCUGCCUGCACCCCUCGAAGAAGAAUUAUCAACCUGACCAGCGUGUUGACUCUGCAGGAGGAAAUCAGUAGCCAGGCACAUGCAAGUCUUCAGGAGAUGCUAAGGGACCACUCUUUUGUGGGCUGUGUCAGUCCUCAGUGGGCGCUGGCCCAGUAUCAGACAAAACUGUAUCUUCUCAAUACAACAAAACUCAGCCAGGAACUCUUCUACCAGAUACUUAUUUAUGACUUCGCAAACUUCGGAGUCUUAAGGUUGUCUGUAAGUACAAUUUUACAUUAUAUCCUACGUAAAACCAUUUUAAAAGCAUUUCUUUCCAAGAAGCCUGUCCUCUCAGGGAAAUGCACAGUUUCACACCUUGAGUUUUGUCCACUCCAAGACUGAUGUUGCAUUUCUUCUACAGUAAGAAUAAAACGUAGAAUUACUGGUGUGCUUUGGAGCUUGGCUGUGAUGAGCAGAACUGUUUGCUCCGCAGGCCAGAGAUGGAGCCAGCUCCUGUAUAUGAACUUUCAAUGCUUGCUUUAGAGGACCCUGAAAGUGGCUGGACAGAAGAAGAUGGCCCAAAAGAAGGGCUCGCUGAGUACAUUGUGGAGUUCCUCAAAAAGAAGACUGAAAUGUUGAAAGAUUAUUUUUCUCUUGAAAUCGAUGAGGAAGGAAACCUCGUUGGGUUGCCGCUUUUGAUAGACAACUAUGUUCCGCCGCUGGAAGGACUGCCCAUGUUCGUCCUUCGUCUGGCCACAGAGGUAAACUGGGAUGAAGAAAAGCCAUGUUUUGAAAGCCUAAGCAAAGAACUAGCGCUGUUCUACUCCAUUAGGAAGCAAUACGUGAUAGAUGAAGCCAACCCCACAAACUCUCAGACUGAAGAUUCUGACUCUGGCUCAACAAAGUGGAAAUGGACUGUGGAACAUGUACUUUACAAAGCUUUUAGGACUCAUCUUUUACCUCCUAAACACUUUGCAGAAGACGGCAACAUUUUGCAGCUUGCUAACCUGCCUGACCUGUAUAAAGUUUUUGAGAGAUGUUGAGCAAGACUGGGGUGUAUCAAAAACCAUUCGUGCUGCAUUCUGUUCUACUGAGUAGAGGAGAAAGCUGGAAUAUUCCUGGAGGAAAGAAGAAGAGGGGAUUUAAUAUCAUACUAACAGGAUAGCAAAUGAUCUGGUUUCCAUCUGUUGAUGAAAGGAGGAAAAGAAUUGUUUUAGCUAUGUGUAAACCCAACUGAAGUGCCUGAGAUCAAAUGCACUUACACUCAGUGUCACUGUUAAGCAGGAUGCUAACAGAAUACAACUCUGACUGAAGAAAAAUUACUGGGUUUAAGUGAAAGGAGAGGGAUCUUAAUUGAAACGUGAGGGCUUCAACUUUGCUUCUUGAAAACAAUACAGGUUAUGCACCUCCUUGUGGUUUA